ACAACUUUCAACAACGGAUCUCUUGGCUCUUGCAUCGAUGAAGAACGCAGUGAAAUGCGAUAAGUAAUGUGAAUUGCAGAAUUCAGUGAAUCAUCGAAUCUUUGAACGCAUCUUGCGCUCCUUGGUAUUCUGAGGAGCAUGCCUGUUUGAGUGUCAUUAC
Molecule: ribosomal RNA, 160 nt
Filed under: Amanita farinosa
Lineage: Eukaryota; Fungi; Basidiomycota; Agaricomycetes; Agaricales; Amanitaceae
Description: 5.8S ribosomal RNA
Rfam family: 5.8S ribosomal RNA
About the family: 5.8S ribosomal RNA (5.8S rRNA) is a component of the large subunit of the eukaryotic ribosome. It is transcribed by RNA polymerase I as part of the 45S precursor that also contains 18S and 28S rRNA. Functionally, it is thought that 5.8S rRNA may be involved in ribosome translocation.
Source: RNAcentral